AGGAAGCCUGGCCCUGAGCUAACAUCUGUGCCCAUCUUCCUCUACUUUCUAUGUGGGACGCCUACCACAGCAUUGUGUGCCAAGCGGUGCACAGGUCCACACCCGGGAUCCGAACCAGCGAACCCCAGGCCACCGAGAAGCAGAACAUGUGCACUUAACUGCUGCACCACCGGGCUGGCCCCAAGGACCCACAUCUUUGACCUCUCAGUUUUCUAAACCAAUCUCCUUCUUUUGAUAAAGAGAGGAAACUGGGAUUCCAGAAAUUGAAGUUAUCUGCCCAGGAACACAAGGAUACUGAAUCCAAUCCAAGGAGAAAAAUAAGUGUGAUCUCAAGGGAAUACAUCUUAUUGAUUAUAGAAAAGAAAGGGGAGCAAGUUCAAUUGGCUCACACUACUUGGUCCUGACAUAGACGCAACUGUGCUGAGGAGAAAAUGAGAAUGAGAUACAAAUGUGCUACAGGCUUGGGAACAAAGUUUUUCUGCAGCUGAGUAUAAGCCAUGAAAGAAGUAAGGAAACAUUCAACCAG
Molecule: long non-coding RNA, 526 nt
Filed under: Equus caballus (horse)
Lineage: Eukaryota; Metazoa; Chordata; Mammalia; Perissodactyla; Equidae
Description: lncRNA (ENSECAG00000048599.1)
Source: RNAcentral